RNAcentral lists this ribosomal RNA (1343 nucleotides) under Campylobacter coli. Its description in RNAcentral is "partial 16S ribosomal RNA". It matches the Rfam family "Bacterial small subunit ribosomal RNA", at positions 166 to 1533 of the family's 1533-position model. RNAcentral also lists the same sequence under 1 other name. Lineage: Bacteria; Pseudomonadati; Campylobacterota; Epsilonproteobacteria; Campylobacterales; Campylobacteraceae. The record is from RNAcentral.
AUACUCUAUACUCCUGCUUAACACAAGUUGAGUAGGGAAAGUUUUUCGGUGUAGGAUGAGACUAUAUAGUAUCAGCUAGUUGGUAAGGUAAUGGCUUACCAAGGCUAUGACGCUUAACUGGUCUGAGAGGAUGAUCAGUCACACUGGAACUGAGACACGGUCCAGACUCCUACGGGAGGCAGCAGUAGGGAAUAUUGCGCAAUGGGGGAAACCCUGACGCAGCAACGCCGCGUGGAGGAUGACACUUUUCGGAGCGUAAACUCCUUUUCUUAGGGAAGAAUUCUGACGGUACCUAAGGAAUAAGCACCGGCUAACUCCGUGCCAGCAGCCGCGGUAAUACGGAGGGUGCAAGCGUUACUCGGAAUCACUGGGCGUAAAGGGCGCGUAGGCGGAUUAUCAAGUCUCUUGUGAAAUCUAAUGGCUUAACCAUUAAACUGCUUGGGAAACUGAUAGUCUAGAGUGAGGGAGAGGCAGAUGGAAUUGGUGGUGUAGGGGUAAAAUCCGUAGAUAUCACCAAGAAUACCCAUUGCGAAGGCGAUCUGCUGGAACUCAACUGACGCUAAGGCGCGAAAGCGUGGGGAGCAAACAGGAUUAGAUACCCUGGUAGUCCACGCCCUAAACGAUGUACACUAGUUGUUGGGGUGCUAGUCAUCUCAGUAAUGCAGCUAACGCAUUAAGUGUACCGCCUGGGGAGUACGGUCGCAAGAUUAAAACUCAAAGGAAUAGACGGGGACCCGCACAAGCGGUGGAGCAUGUGGUUUAAUUCGAAGAUACGCGAAGAACCUUACCUGGGCUUGAUAUCCUAAGAACCUUUUAGAGAUAAGAGGGUGCUAGCUUGCUAGAACUUAGAGACAGGUGCUGCACGGCUGUCGUCAGCUCGUGUCGUGAGAUGUUGGGUUAAGUCCCGCAACGAGCGCAACCCACGUAUUUAGUUGCUAACGGUUCGGCCGAGCACUCUAAAUAGACUGCCUUCGUAAGGAGGAGGAAGGUGUGGACGACGUCAAGUCAUCAUGGCCCUUAUGCCCAGGGCGACACACGUGCUACAAUGGCAUAUACAAUGAGACGCAAUACCGCGAGGUGGAGCAAAUCUAUAAAAUAUGUCCCAGUUCGGAUUGUUCUCUGCAACUCGAGAGCAUGAAGCCGGAAUCGCUAGUAAUCGUAGAUCAGCCAUGCUACGGUGAAUACGUUCCCGGGUCUUGUACUCACCGCCCGUCACACCAUGGGAGUUGAUUUCACUCGAAGCCGGAAUACUAAACUAGUUACCGUCCACAGUGGAAUCAGCGACUGGGGUGAAGUCGUAACAAGGUAACCGUAGGAGAACCUGCGGUUGGAUCACCUCCUUU